This is a non-coding RNA of Punica granatum (pomegranate), 1789 nucleotides long. The record is from RefSeq and is a predicted model, not a curated record. Lineage: Eukaryota; Viridiplantae; Streptophyta; Magnoliopsida; Myrtales; Lythraceae.
ACAAAGGGAUCAACACAGAGACAGAUAAGCACAGACACGGCUAGAGGGAGAGAGGGAGGCAGAGACUCACACAAGGAUGAAGAAAUAGGAACGACAAGGAGAAAAAGGAGAGAAAGGAGGCAGCGGCAACUCGUGCUCAGCCGCGAGACCUCGAGUUCAGCCCCUCUCUCGGCGCCCUCGAUUCCUCUGCUUCUCCCUCUCUACGUAACUCUGUUCUGCCCGUUUGGUUCUGUCUGCUUGCGGCUCUAUCGUGCAGGUAAUUGGAAGCUCGACGGCCUCCAGCUCGCCUUUUUCCCUUUUCGGGCACUUCCCCUGCCAGAUGUCGCGGCCGCUGCAGCUCCCUGCUCUUCCUCCGACCAGCAGCAGAGCCGUCCUCGAAAGAGAGGACUCGAUGACAUUCCUUGCCCCUGAUCUAGACUGUUCACUCGUGGACUGUUAUGUUGCGGAUGCUGUCCCUAUUGUUUUAGAGACGUUUUGCUUGGCUUUGACGACUGGAAAUCAUGCUUGAGUGCUGAGUCGAUUGAUUAGAUGGUUCUUGGUUCAAUUUGGCUGCGAUUUAGAUCGGUUUGGACGAUUCGAGGUUGGGUUUGAAGUAGGAAUGAAUCAUAUGAUGCCUCUUUGUUUAAUUUAGGAGAUUUUAGCUUGAUCUUGACAGUUUAAUCUUGAGUUGAAGUUGUGGACUGAGUUCCAUAUCAAUCCCUUGUUCUCUUGAUCAAUUUAUGCUUGUUCAAUUAGAAGUUAUGCUUAAUGCAUGAGCUAUAUUAUAUGAUAAUGAAUUGGACGAUUUGAGGGUUUUGACACCCUUUUAAUUACUAAAGGAAGUGAUUAAGGUGUAGGCUGAGUUGCCUAUCAAUCCUUUGUUCGACUUAAAGAUGAUUCUACACGUUUAUGAUGACUUUAUGUUAUAUCUAAAUAUGUGGCUGAAUUGACUAAUAGAGGGAUGAUGAUAUUUGCUUAGUCUCAGGUUGAGUUUUGGGUGCUUGUUUAGUUGAUUGAUCCUCUGUUUGGCUGAUCUCGAUUUGGAGCGUAGCCUAGAAUAAAUUAUAGAUGCCUCUAGAUGCCUGAUUACUUAUAUUUGGGUCUUCGUAAGAUCGAUUUAAAUAAUCUUGCAUGUUGUUCAGUCAUGAGUGUGGCCUAUAGAGGCUCGUUUCGGUCACCUUCAUGGCAUAUGGUAAGUUCUCUUCAUUCCUAUAUGCCUUGAGGUCAUCCUCCCCGGCUUUUCAUGCCAUUUCAGAUAUUCUAGGGUCGAAUUAAGGGACAUUUGAAUCAGGAUCAUAGUUGAUUUGAGGAUCUUGGAACUCACUUUUGUUAAGUCUAUCUUGAACUCGUUCCAUUGUUCAUAUAUUUGCAUUUGUCCUGAUUCUCUCGUUUCUCUUUCUUUCUUUCGCAUGUCUCCUGAGCAAGAGGAGAAGAAAUGAGGAGAGACGAAAGUUGUAUAGCUUUAAUGAAGGGGUUGGCUUAAGUUCGCGCAAAGAUCGGAAAGCAACAGUCUGCUUAAUAUUAUUUCAGGUGGACGUUUCCAUCUUGCAUCCAACCUAAGGGAAAUGUUUGGAAAUGGCUUGCCUAGAAGAAUGGGAAGAUCUUACAACCGAAAGGAGUUUUUAUGUUGUUUUAUAUAACUUAGAUAGUUAUUCUAAAUGAGUAUAUAUUUAUAAAUAUAUAUCCAUUUAUUUGAAUUGAGUGUCUUGCCUAUGUAAAAUUUACUGUUCUUCGAUCGAUAUAAGAUGACUAAUCGUAAUUGGAAUAUUUGGGUGACUUUUAAUUCCUAAAGAGAGAUAUUGAUUAUUAA